RNAcentral lists this ribosomal RNA (253 nucleotides) under uncultured bacterium. Its description in RNAcentral is "partial 16S ribosomal RNA". It matches the Rfam family "Bacterial small subunit ribosomal RNA", at positions 524 to 776 of the family's 1533-position model. The record is from RNAcentral.
GACAGAGGGUGCGACCGUUGUUCGGAAUUACUGGGCGUAAAGCGCGUGUAGGCUGUUCGGAAAGUCGGGUGUGAAAGCCCUGGGCUCAACCUAGGAAGUGCACUCGAAACUCCCGAACUGGAGUCCCGGAGAGGAAGGUGGAAUUCUCGGUGUAGAGGUGAAAUUCGUAGAUAUCGAGAGGAACAUCGGUGGCGAAGGCGGCCUUCUGGACGGUGACUGACGCUGAGACGCGAAAGCGUGGGGAGCAAACAGG